ACGUGUGAAAUUUGGUGAAGAAGAUAAAGUUAUUGAACAUUUCUUGGUUAUGGUUUCUGAGGCAAGAUCUUCUGUUAGGAAUUUAAGUCGAUCAAUGACAUUUCAGUUAAGACAAAUUGGUGGUAAAGUAUAUGAUCGUAUUGCAUUACUUCUUCAACCAUACGAUAUUAAGGUUUCAAUUUCAAGAAAUCCAAGAGGGUAUAUGAUCGAAUUGCAUUACUUCUACAACCAUACGAUAUUAAGGUUUCAAUUUCAAGAAAUCCAAGAGGGUUAAUUGUAUAUCUUGAAGCUUUAUUAAACAAAGCUUGUUAUGAGGAUUUUGAGUCAAUUGGAUUUCAAAAAGGUUCUUGUAAUCAAAUCUUGAACCCCAUUGAUCGUUGUGAAGCAAAUUUUGGUUUGUACAAUCGUUUGAAGGAU
Molecule: long non-coding RNA, 417 nt
Filed under: Nicotiana benthamiana
Lineage: Eukaryota; Viridiplantae; Streptophyta; Magnoliopsida; Solanales; Solanaceae
Description: long non-coding RNA (NBEN_LNC025471)
Source: RNAcentral